Molecule: ribosomal RNA, 470 nt
Filed under: uncultured bacterium
Lineage: Bacteria
Description: bacterial SSU rRNA
Rfam family: Bacterial small subunit ribosomal RNA
Source: RNAcentral
UGGGGAAUAUUGGACAAUGGGCGCAAGCCUGAUCCAGCCAUGCCGCGUGAGGGAGGAAAUCCUUCGGGAUGUAAACCUCGCAAGCAAGGGAAGACAGCUAGAGAUUUAAUAAAUCUCUAGUCCGACGGUACCUUGCGUAAGCCACGGCUAACUACGUGCCAGCAGCCGCGGUAAUACGUAGGGGACUAGCGUUGUUCGGAAUCACUGGGCGUAAAGCGCACGUAGGCGGAUUUGUAAGUCAGGGGUGAAAUCCCGGGGCUCAACCUCGGAACUGCCUUUGAUACUGCGGAUCUCGAGUCCGAUAGAGGUGAGUGGAAUUCCUAGUGUAGAGGUGAAAUUCGUAGAUAUUAGGAAGAACACCGGUGGCGAAGGCGGCUCACUGGAUCGGUACUGACGCUGAGACGCGAAAGCGUGGGGAGCAAACAGGAUUAGAUACCCGAGUAGUCCCUGAGCGGGCUGGCAAGGCGCAU